Molecule: long non-coding RNA, 426 nt
Organism: Gasterosteus aculeatus aculeatus (three-spined stickleback)
Lineage: Eukaryota; Metazoa; Chordata; Actinopteri; Perciformes; Gasterosteidae
Source: Ensembl
AAUUUAACCCGGGCCGCGGCGGUGAAAGCGCCAAAUCCUAGCCACUAGACCAUCAGGGACAUGAUUAUGCUAAUGAAGUCUUAGUUUAAGUCGAAAACUUUAAAAACAUCUGCAGUUUGGCUUGAAUUAAAAGUUGGAUCUGGAAUUCCAAACUCUAAAUCUCAUUUCCCUGACCGGGAAUUGAACCCGGGCCGCAGCGGUGAGAGCGCCGAAUCCUAGCCACUAGACCAUCAGGGACACAAUUAUGCAAAUGAAGUCAUAGUUUACGUCGAAUACUUUAAAAACAUCUGCAGUUUGGCUUGAAUUAAAAGUUGGAUCUGGAAUUCCAAACUCUAAAUCUCAUUUCCCUGACCGGGAAUUGAACCCGGGCCGCGGCGGUGAAAGCGCCAAAUGCUAGCCACUAGAACAUCAGGGACACAAUUAUGC